This 518-nucleotide long non-coding RNA is filed under the name Capra hircus (goat). Its description in RNAcentral is "lncRNA (ENSCHIG00010002396.1)". The record is from RNAcentral. Lineage: Eukaryota; Metazoa; Chordata; Mammalia; Artiodactyla; Bovidae.
GAAAUACAAUACUGCUUGGCGGUUAAGAACAUGGCUUGGGGGAGUCAGAGCUCCAGUGUUAAUCGACUACCUCCUCAUGAAUGACCUCGGGCCAUCAUAUCCUUUCUCGUGAGAAUUUGAACCAAGAGACACAAUCAUGGGAAUGUGUCACAUUAACUGAAGAGCAAUGGGGAGAAGAUUGUGAAUGCCUGGAACUGAGUUCUCUGGAGAUGACCUUCUUCCCAUCUUUCCUGGGGUCUAGUUCCUUGAUCUACAAGAAGCCCCAGUAUCCUUCCAACAAAUUUCACUUUUUGUUUAAGCAAACUAAUGUGGCCUUUACUAUAUACAAGAAAAUUGUACAUAUUUACUAAUACAAUACAAUUCAGUUCAGUCGCUCAGUCGCGUCCGACUCUUUGUGACCCCACGAAUCACAGCAUGCCAGGCUCCCCUGUCCAUCACCAACUCCCAGACUUCACUCAGACUCACGUCCAUAGAGUCAGUGAUGCGAUCCAGCCAUCUCAUCCUCUGUCGUCCCCUUC